AUACGUAGGGUGCGAGCGUUGUCCGGAAUUACUGGGCGUAAAGAGCUCGUAGGUGGUUUGUCGCGUCGUCUGUGAAAUUCCGGGGCUUAACUCCGGGCGUGCAGGCGAUACGGGCAUAACUUGAGUACUGUAGGGGAGACUGGAAUUCCUGGUGUAGCGGUGAAAUGCGCAGAUAUCAGGAGGAACACCGGUGGCGAAGGCGGGUCUCUGGGCAGUAACUGACGCUGAGGAGCGAAAGCAUGGGUAGCGAACAGGAUUAGAUACCCUGGUAGUCCAUGCCGUAAACGGUGGGCGCUAGGUGUAGGGGUCUUCCACGACUUCUGUGCCGUAGCUAACGCAUUAAGCGCUCCGCCUGGGGAGUACGGCCGCAAGGCUAAAACUCAAAGGAAUUGACGGGG
This 398-nucleotide ribosomal RNA is filed under the name uncultured bacterium. Its description in RNAcentral is "partial 16S ribosomal RNA". It matches the Rfam family "Bacterial small subunit ribosomal RNA", at positions 523 to 918 of the family's 1533-position model. The record is from RNAcentral.